AGGGAACGCUGGCGGUAGGCCUAACGCAUGCAAGUCGAACGGCAGCACAGUAAGAGCUUGCUCUUAUGGGUGGCGAGUGGCGGACGGGCGAGGAAUACUACGGAAUCUACUUUUUCGUGGGGGAUAACGUAGGGAAACUUACGCUAAUACUGCAUACGACCUAUGUGUGAAAGCAUGGAUUCUUCGGAGCUUGCGCGAAUGAAUGAGCCGAUGUCGGAUUAGCUAGAUGGCGAGGUAAAGGCCAACCUAGGCGACGAUCCUUAGCUGGUCUGAGAGGAUGAUCAGCCACACUGGAAUUGAGACACGGUCCAGACUCCUACAGGAGGCAGCAGUGGAGAAUAUUGGACAAUGGGCGCAAGCCUGAUCCAGCCAUACCGCGUGGGUGAAGAAGGCCUUCGGGUUUUAAAGCCCUUUUGUUGGGAAAGAAAAGCAGCAGGUUAAUACCCCGCUGUUCUGACGGUACCCAAAGAAUAAGCACCGGCUACCUUCGUG
RNAcentral lists this ribosomal RNA (492 nucleotides) under uncultured bacterium. Its description in RNAcentral is "partial 16S ribosomal RNA". It matches the Rfam family "Bacterial small subunit ribosomal RNA", at positions 31 to 507 of the family's 1533-position model. The record is from RNAcentral.